CCUCUCGGGGGUAAGCGGGCAGAACUUGCAAGUAUUGGCUGGGAACAUUCAGGCUUAGUGUUGGUGGCUUGUGGUGCACGUCUUGUGGUUCUUUCGGGGAUUGCUGGCGUGUACUGUUUGGUCUGCUGACGAUGCGCCGCAUUUGUUCCUGUCAUCGGGUUGCAUGCGACUAAAUUGGCAGUUUAGGUGCUGGGGUCCUGCAAAUCCUUGUGGUUUGAGCCCUGGUUUUUCCAACUGCUGUUGUGGUCGUUGAAAAGUAUGAGCAGGCGUUUAUCGCGGUCGAUGGGUUUCGCGAGUUGGGUGCUUAUGAUAUGUGGACGGGUAACCGUAGCAUGUUGUCUGUACCUGCUGUCAGCGAGAUUCCUUUGGCACUGUUCUGAUUGCAAUCUAAAGCAUGCGUGGUCUGCCUGU
RNAcentral lists this ribosomal RNA (411 nucleotides) under Sinella curviseta. RNAcentral describes it as "partial 28S ribosomal RNA". Lineage: Eukaryota; Metazoa; Arthropoda; Collembola; Entomobryomorpha; Entomobryidae. The record is from RNAcentral.